RNAcentral lists this transfer RNA (87 nucleotides) under Dyella dinghuensis. RNAcentral's name for it is "Dyella sp. DHOA06 tRNA-Leu". It matches the Rfam family "tRNA". From Rfam's summary of the family: Transfer RNA (tRNA) molecules are approximately 80 nucleotides in length. Their secondary structure includes four short double-helical elements and three loops (D, anti-codon, and T loops). Further hydrogen bonds mediate the characteristic L-shaped molecular structure. tRNAs have two regions of fundamental functional importance: the anti-codon, which is responsible for specific mRNA codon recognition, and the 3' end, to which the tRNAs corresponding amino acid is attached (by aminoacyl-tRNA synthetases). tRNAs cope with the degeneracy of the genetic code in two manners: having more than one tRNA (with a specific anti-codon) for a particular amino acid; and 'wobble' base-pairing, i.e. permitting non-standard base-pairing at the 3rd anti-codon position. Lineage: Bacteria; Pseudomonadati; Pseudomonadota; Gammaproteobacteria; Lysobacterales; Rhodanobacteraceae. The record is from RNAcentral.
GCCCGGAUGGCGAAAUAGGUAGACGCAAGAGACUUAAAAUCUCUCAACCGCAAGGUUAUGCCGGUUCGAUUCCGGCUCCGGGCACCA